Molecule: ribosomal RNA, 492 nt
Filed under: uncultured bacterium
Lineage: Bacteria
Description: partial 16S ribosomal RNA
Rfam family: Bacterial small subunit ribosomal RNA
Source: RNAcentral
AGUGAACGCUGGCGGUAGGCCUAACACAUGCAAGUCGAACGGCAGCACAGUAAGAGCUUGCUCUUACGGGUGGCGAGUGGCGGACGGGUGAGGAAUACAUCGGAAUCUACUUUUUCGUGGGGGAUAACGUAGGGAAACUUACGCUAAUACCGCAUACGACCUACGGGUGAAAGCAGGGGAUCUUCGGACCUUGCGCGAUUGAAUGAGCCGAUGUCGGAUUAGCUAGUUGGCGGGGUAAAGGCCCACCAAGGCGACGAUCCGUAGCUGGUCUGAGAGGAUGAUCAGCCACACGGGAACUGAGACACGGUCCAGACUCCUACGGGAGGCAGCAGUGGGGAAUAUUGGACAAUGGGCGAAAGCCUGAUACAGCCAUACCGCGUGAGUGAAGAAGGAGUUCGGGUUGGAAAGCCCUUUUGUUGGGAAAGAAAAGCAGCAGGUUAAUACCCCGCUGUUCUGACGGUACCCAAAGAAUAAGCACCGGCUAACUUCGUG